CCUACGGGCGGCAGCAGUGAGGAAUAUUGGUCAAUGGACGAGAGUCUGAACCAGCCAAGUAGCGUGAAGGAUGACUGCCCUAUGGGUUGUAAACUUCUUUUAUAUGGGAAUAAAAUGUUCCACGUGUGGGAUUUUGUAUGUACCAUAUGAAUAAGGAUCGGCUAACUCCGUGCCAGCAGCCGCGGUAAUACGGAGGAUCCGAGCGUUAUCCGGAUUUAUUGGGUUUAACGGGGGCGUAGGUGGAUUGUUAAGUCAGUUGUGAAAGUUUGCGGCUCAACCGUAAAAUUGCAGUUGAAACUGGCAGUCUUGAGUACAGUAGAGGUGGGCGGAAUUCGUGGUGUAGCGGUGAAAUGCUUAGAUAUCACGAAGAACUCCGAUUGCGAAGGCAGUUCACUGGACUGCAACUGACACUGAGGCUCGAAAGUGUGGGUAUCAAACAGGAUUAGAUACCCUGGUAGUC
RNAcentral lists this ribosomal RNA (460 nucleotides) under uncultured bacterium. RNAcentral describes it as "partial 16S ribosomal RNA". It matches the Rfam family "Bacterial small subunit ribosomal RNA", at positions 338 to 795 of the family's 1533-position model. The record is from RNAcentral.